UACGGAGGGUGCGAGCGUUGUCCGGAAUCACUGGGCGUAAAGGGCGCGUAGGCGGCGCGGGUAGUCGUCGGUGAAAGCUCAGGGCUCAACUCUGAGUCGGCCGGUGAUACUCCCGUGCUCGAGCACUGUAGAGGCAGGUGGAAUUCCGGGUGUAGCGGUGGAAUGCGUAGAGAUCCGGAAGAACACCGGUGGCGAAGGCGGCCUGCUGGGCAGUAGCUGACGCUGAUGCGCGAGAGCGUGGGGAGCGAACAGG
RNAcentral lists this ribosomal RNA (253 nucleotides) under uncultured bacterium. RNAcentral describes it as "partial 16S ribosomal RNA". It matches the Rfam family "Bacterial small subunit ribosomal RNA", at positions 524 to 776 of the family's 1533-position model. The record is from RNAcentral.